GGAACCGUUUUACCCAACACAAGGUAAGUCCUUAAGCAUUUUUGUAAGGUUGAUUAGUUUGUAUAUAAAUAAUACUAGUGAAUCAUAAAAGAAUUCCUUUUGAUGAGUAUUCUUUUGGAGUGAUUUUCCUAUUUAUUAAUGUGACCAUAUGUGCUAUUUGAAUUAAGUAAAUUGCCUCAUCAUAAUGAGUUAACAUACGGCACUAUGUGUGCGGAAUUAAGUGGCACUAUAUGUGCCGAUUUGGAUGUUGAAGCAUGAGAGAAAAUUCAAUGCACUGAGUGUGCGG
This 286-nucleotide long non-coding RNA is filed under the name Gossypium barbadense (sea-island cotton). RNAcentral describes it as "long non-coding RNA (GBAR_LNC006496)". Lineage: Eukaryota; Viridiplantae; Streptophyta; Magnoliopsida; Malvales; Malvaceae. The record is from RNAcentral.